AAGAGUUACUGGGCGAACAGACCAAUUCUUAUAAAUUCUUCUCUAUAAGUUAUUCUUAAUCCAACAUCGAGGUCGUAAUUUAUUUUGGGAAUUUGAUCUUCUCAAAAAUUUUACGCUGUUAUCCCUUAGGUAAUUUAGUUUAUUUCUUAUUUGGAUAAUUUAAUUUGAUUAAAUUCAUUUUAUUAUAUUAAAAGAUUUAAUUAUUUUAAAAUCUCCCCAAUUUAACAAAUUAUAUUUAAUUAAAAUUAAUUUUAAUUGUUAAAUUCUAAAGGGUCUUCUUGUCUUUUGAUUUAAUUUAAGAUUUUUCACUUAAAUAUUAAUUUGUACUAUUUUAGUUAAAAAAGUUAGUUUUUCAUUUUUUCCUUCAUUCAAGCUUUGAAUUAUAAAGCAAUUUAUUAUGCUACCUUAGUACAGUUAAUUUACUGCAGCUAUUUAAGAUUUAUCAUUGAGCAGAACUUAUCUAAAAUUUUUUUCUUUAAACU
Molecule: ribosomal RNA, 482 nt
Filed under: Bemisia tabaci
Lineage: Eukaryota; Metazoa; Arthropoda; Insecta; Hemiptera; Aleyrodidae
Description: partial 16S ribosomal RNA
Source: RNAcentral